GACGAACGCUGGCGGCGUGCCUAACACAUGCAAGUCGAGCGAGUAGAUCCCUUCGGGGUGAAGCUAGCGGCGGACGGGUGAGUAACACGUGGGCAACCUGCCUCAUAGAGGGGAAUAGCCUUCCGAAAGGAAGAUUAAUACCGCAUAAGAUGGUAGCUUCGCAUGAAGUAGCAAUUAAAGGAGCAAUCCGCUAUGAGAUGGGCCCGCGGCGCAUUAGCUAGUUGGUGAGGUAACGGCCCCCCAAGGCGACGAUGCGUAGCCGACCUGAGAGGGUGAUCGGCCACAUUGGGACCGAGACACGGCCCAGACUCCUACGGGAGGCAGCAGUGGGGAAUAUUGCACAAUGGGGGAAACCCUGAUGCAGCAACGCCGCGUGAGUGAUGACGGCCUUCGGGUUGUAAAGCUCUGUCUUCGGGGACGAUAAUGACGGUACCCGAGGAGGAAGCCACGGCUAACUACGUGCCAGCCGCCGCAGUAA
Molecule: ribosomal RNA, 478 nt
Filed under: uncultured bacterium
Lineage: Bacteria
Description: partial 16S ribosomal RNA
Rfam family: Bacterial small subunit ribosomal RNA
Source: RNAcentral